Molecule: long non-coding RNA, 523 nt
Filed under: Equus caballus (horse)
Lineage: Eukaryota; Metazoa; Chordata; Mammalia; Perissodactyla; Equidae
Description: lncRNA (ENSECAG00000043109.2)
Source: RNAcentral
GAAAGAGAGACAUCGAUGAGAAGAUACAGAUUCAGUGUUUAUCCCAAGCUUUGCCCACACUUAGCCCCAUCAUGAAAGCAUGGCUGGAUAAGCGGUGCAUGGGUCUGAUCCAAACCAGAGAACCCCAGGCCGCUGAAGUGGAACACCCAAACUUAACCACUACACCACCAGGCCGGCCCGGAGAAGAUGUUUUUUAACCUAACCCAUGGAUAAAGAAAGUCCAAAUAAGAGUUCUUGGCAAAUGACAUGUGGCAAGUGGCAACCGAGAAAGAAUGCUCUCUGCAGCUGAUUCAGGAGAAUCUUCCUGAGACUUUGGACUACUCCAUCUUAGCCUUGUGCCAGGUUAACACCACUGCUGCUUUCUGCAAAAGGAGCCAAGCAAUAAAAGGGCAGCUUUGUCAGAUCUCAAAGUUGGAGAAUCGCCCUGAGAGGGAGUUGCCCUGGAUCCUUUGGCUUCAUGUAUAUGUGACAAACUACCCAGCUGAUGUUUUCACCUGAGAGAAAAAGGUAACUAAAAUAUCAC